This 411-nucleotide ribosomal RNA is filed under the name Bombina orientalis. Its description in RNAcentral is "partial 12S ribosomal RNA". It matches the Rfam family "Bacterial small subunit ribosomal RNA", at positions 918 to 1533 of the family's 1533-position model. The record is from RNAcentral. Lineage: Eukaryota; Metazoa; Chordata; Amphibia; Anura; Bombinatoridae.
GCCCCACCCACCUAGAGGAGCCUGUUCUAUAAUCGAUAACCCCCGCUUAACCUCACCACUUCUUGCCAAUACCGCCUAUAUACCACCGUCGCCAGCCCACCCCGUGAGGGACAUAGUAGGCACAAUGAUAAGUCACCAAAACGUCAGGUCAAGGUGUAGCGUAUGAAGUGGAAAGAAAUGGGCUACAUUCUCUAACCUAGAGCACACGAAAAAUCAUAUGAAAUUAGAUUAGAAGGAGGAUUUAGUAGUAAAAAGAAACAAUAGUGUUCUUUUUAAGUUGGCCCUGGGGCGCGCACACACCGCCCGUCACCCUCUUCAACUAAUAAAACACGAUUUAUAAAACACAAAACAAACACAAGAAGAGGUAAGUCGUAACAUGGUAAGUAUACCGGAAGGUGUGCUUGGAAUUAC